RNAcentral lists this long non-coding RNA (776 nucleotides) under Capra hircus (goat). RNAcentral describes it as "lncRNA (ENSCHIG00010001266.1)". Lineage: Eukaryota; Metazoa; Chordata; Mammalia; Artiodactyla; Bovidae. The record is from RNAcentral.
AGCAGCAGCAGCACAAGUCCAGACAAGAAAUAUGAUCUCAAAUAAGCAUUUCCAUUUACUAGUGUUUUCUCGAGCAUGAUUCUAAGGAUACAACCAGUUUGCAGAUAAUCUAUGGGAUCCUCCCCGUAACCUAUAUUCAGAUUUGGAAAGGGACCUAUUUGGCACAUUACAGUGAUUAUAAAGGUACAGCUUUCCUGGAAAAACCCUCAGUGGGUAAGGUAACAACAUUUGUGCCAAACAUGCAAAUGCAUAGGAGUCUAACUCUUUCAAGCAUUUAAACAGCAACUCUGAAGAAUGUGCAAGACUUAUUUCCCUUCUUGAAUAAGACUGUCCCAGUUUCAAGUCUCCAAGUUAAAUGCACAGUGGAUGGUUGCCCAGGUGACAGUCCGUAAACUAAACAGUCUCUGCAGCUAACUGAAGAGUUUGUACACACAGAACCAGUUGUAAUUAUCUUUUUAUUUUACAAGUACUUGGAGCUGUGAAACAUUGGAAAAUAAUCAAAGAAAAAAAUCUAUAUCUAUGCUGCCUCUAAAUGGAUCACUUGUUGAAGUGUGGGUUGACAGCUGUUUUUAGAAAUCAGUGCCUUGAUGAAUUAGGAUGAUGUUGACUGCUGUUUGUCUUGGUGUCUCAACUGUGUACCAACUNNNNNNGCAAAACAUAGAACAGAACCGUGUUCCUAAAAAGCACUACCCAAAAUAUUCCAUGGGCUUCCCAACCUGUUGAGAAGUAAAAGAGUAAAUUCCCACUGGACCACUUUCUCCUCAUUGUUUCUAGGC